This 434-nucleotide ribosomal RNA is filed under the name uncultured bacterium. Its description in RNAcentral is "partial 16S ribosomal RNA". It matches the Rfam family "Bacterial small subunit ribosomal RNA", at positions 29 to 506 of the family's 1533-position model. The record is from RNAcentral.
AACGAACGCUGGCGGCAUGCCUAACACAUGCAAGUCGAACGAUUGCCUUCGGGUGAUAGUGGCGCACGGGUGCGUAACGCGUGGGAAUCUGCCCUUAGGUUCGGAAUAACAGCUGGAAACGGCUGCUAAUACCGGAUGAUAUCGCGAGAUCAAAGAUUUAUCGCCUGAGGAUGAGCCUGCGUUGGAUUAGGUAGUUGGUGGGGUAAAGGCCUACCAAGCCGACGAUCCAUAGCUGGUCUGAGAGGAUGAUCAGCCACACUGGGACUGAGACACGGCCCAGACUCCUACGGGAGGCAGCAGUGGGGAAUAUUGGACAAUGGGCGCAAGCCUGAUCCAGCAAUGCCGCGUGAGUGAUGAAGGCCCUAGGGUUGUAAAGCUCUUUUACCCGGGAAGAUAAUGACUGUACCGGGAGAAUAAGCCCCGGCUAACUCCGU